UCUACGGCCAUACCACCCUGAACGCGCCCGAUCUUGUCUGAUCUCGGAAGCUAAGCAGGGUCGGGCCUGGUUAGUACUUGGAUGGGAGAGAUAAUGUAAUCAAUGGGAGAGGAAAGGU
This is a ribosomal RNA of Mustela putorius furo (domestic ferret), 118 nucleotides long. NCBI's taxonomy places the organism in Eukaryota, Metazoa, Chordata, Mammalia, Carnivora, Mustelidae. The record is from Ensembl.